ACUCAAAGGAAUAGACGGGGACCCGCACAAGCGGUGGAGCAUGUGGUUUAAUUCGACGGUACCCGAAGAACCUUACCAAGGCUUGUUCUAGUGCAAAGUUGGGCGAAAUCUCGACGGAGGCUACCACUAGGGCAACGGUGAUGCAUGGCCGUCGUCAGUUCGUGCCGUGAGGUGUAUGGUUAAGUCCUAUAACGAAUGCAACCCUCGUGUUUAGUUACCAUCAUUAAGUUGGGGACUCUAAACAGACUGCCAGAGUAAUCUGGAGGAAGGAGAGGAUGACGUCUGGUCUUUAUGUCCUUUAUGCCUUGGGCUACACACGUGCUACAAUGAUGAGGACAAAGGGUUGCCAACCCGCGAGGGGGAGCUAAUCUCAAAAAACUCAUCUCAGUUUGGAUUGAAGUCUGCAACUCGACUUCAUGAAACCGGAAUCGCUAGUAAUCGCGGAUCAGCUAUGUCGCGGUGAAUACGUUCUCGGGUCUUGUACACACCGCCCGU
RNAcentral lists this ribosomal RNA (495 nucleotides) under uncultured bacterium. RNAcentral's name for it is "partial 16S ribosomal RNA". It matches the Rfam family "Bacterial small subunit ribosomal RNA", at positions 899 to 1397 of the family's 1533-position model. The record is from RNAcentral.